This 394-nucleotide ribosomal RNA is filed under the name uncultured bacterium. Its description in RNAcentral is "bacterial SSU rRNA". It matches the Rfam family "Bacterial small subunit ribosomal RNA", at positions 28 to 416 of the family's 1533-position model. The record is from RNAcentral.
GACGAACGCUGGCGGCGUGCUUAACACAUGCAAGUGGAGCGACGAACCGGGGCUUGCCCCGGGGCAAAGCCGCGAACGGGCGAGUAACACGUGGGUAACCCACCUCGAUGACCGGGACAACCCGGGGAAACUCGGGCUAAUACCGGAUGUGCUCUUCGGUCUCAAGACCGUCGAGGAAAGGUAGCUUUGGCCUCCGCAUCGAGACGGGCCCGCGGCCCAUUAGCUUGUUGGUGGGGUAACGGCCUACCAAGGCUGCGAUGGGUAGCUGGUCUGAGAGGACGAUCAGCCACACUGGGACUGAGACACGGCCCAGACUCCUACGGGAGGCAGCAGUGGGGAAUCUUGCACAAUGCGCGAAAGCGUGAUGCAGCAACGCCGCGUGGGGAAGAAGGCC